Molecule: ribosomal RNA, 497 nt
Filed under: uncultured bacterium
Lineage: Bacteria
Description: partial 16S ribosomal RNA
Rfam family: Bacterial small subunit ribosomal RNA
Source: RNAcentral
GAUGAACGCUGGCGGCGUGCCUAAUACAUGCAAGUCGAGCGAACAGACGAGGAGCUUGCUCCUCUGACGUUAGCGGCGGACGGGUGAGUAACACGUGGAUAACCUACCUAUAAGACUGGGAUAACUUCGGGAAACCGGAGCUAAUACCGGAUAAUAUAUUGAACCGCAUGGUUCAAUAGUGAAAGACGGUUUUGCUGUCACUUAUAGAUGGAUCCGCGCCGCAUUAGCUAGUUGGUAAGGUAACGGCUUACCAAGGCAACGAUGCGUAGCCGACCUGAGAGGGUGAACGGCCACACUGGAACUGAGACACGGUCCAGACUCCUACGGGAGGCAGCAGUAGGGAAUCUUCCGCAAUGGGCGAAAGCCUGACGGAGCAACGCCGCGUGAGUGAUGAAGGUCUUCGGAUCGUAAAACUCUGUUAUUAGGGAAGAACAAAUGUGUAAGUAACUAUGCACGUCUCGACGGUACCUAAUCAGAAAGCCACGGCUAACUACGUG